Molecule: ribosomal RNA, 253 nt
Filed under: uncultured bacterium
Lineage: Bacteria
Description: partial 16S ribosomal RNA
Rfam family: Bacterial small subunit ribosomal RNA
Source: RNAcentral
UACAGAGGGGGCAAGCGUUAUUCGGAAUUAUUGGGCGUAAAGGGCGUGUAGGCGGCCUGCCAAGUCUGCUGUGAAAGCGCCUGGCUUAACCGGGCGAGGUCGGUGGAAACUGGCGGGCUGGAGGACGGUAGAGGGGGGUGGAAUUCCCGGUGUAGUGGUGAAAUGCGUAGAGAUCGGGAGGAACACCAGUGGCGAAGGCGGCCCCCUGGGCCGUUCCUGACGCUGAGACGCGAAGGCGCGGGGAGCGAACGGG